AAUGCUGACAUGAGUAACGAUAAGGGGAGUGAAAAACUCCCCCGCCGGAAGACCAAGGUUUUCUGUUCUACGUUAAUCGGAGCAGAGUGAGUCGGCCCCUAAGGCGAGGCGGAAACGCGUAGUCGAUGGGAAACGGGUUAAUAUUCCCGUACCGGAUGUGGUUGCGAUGGGGGGACGAAGAAGGCUAGGUGAGCCAGGCGUUGGUUGUCCUGGUGAAAGCAUGUAGGCCGAGGAAUCAGGCAAAUCCGGUUCCUCUGAGGUCGAGAUGCGAGACGAACUGACCACGGUCAGGAAGUCAUCGAUGCCACGCUUCCAGGAAAAGCCUCUAAG
RNAcentral lists this ribosomal RNA (330 nucleotides) under Paraphysomonas bandaiensis. Its description in RNAcentral is "partial Bacterial large subunit ribosomal RNA". It matches the Rfam family "Bacterial large subunit ribosomal RNA", at positions 1293 to 1625 of the family's 2925-position model. The record is from RNAcentral. Lineage: Eukaryota; Chrysophyceae; Chromulinales; Paraphysomonadaceae.